GUGAGUUCCUUCUGUGCAAUAAGUUGUGCUCUGAGAAGGCUGCUGAGCACAUGGAGGAACAUGGGAUCUAAUGACUAAUCCUGAACUUUCCCAUAUCAAAAUAGAAAUUUCAUUUUGUUUGCACAAGAAUACAUUUUCCAGUGCAUGUGGAUGGGGAGACAUCUGGAGAAAAGAGCAGCGUAGGCAGAGCCGUGCCUUGGGGACUGAGCAGCUGUGCUGACCAUGAGCGAGCAGAGCCAUGUCAACAGCCUGUUCCUCAACGAGGACGCAGCCAAGCGGCUCAAUGCCGAGAGUCGGGUGCAGCGCUUACGGCAGGCGGUGCAGAAGCGGGCAGCACGGGCCAAGAAGCGGAUGCACAGCAUCACUGCCGACAGCGCUAAAAGCUUCUUCAGGAGAAAUGCCUUCGUCCUCUUCACCAUUGCUGCAGUCUUAUUAGGGAUCAUCCUGGCAUUUUCCCUUCGGCCGUACCAGCUGACCUAUCGCCAGAUCAAGUAUUUCUCCUUCCCCGGCGAGCUGCUGAUGCGUAUGCUCCAGAUGUUGGUUCUUCCUCUCAUUGUCUCUAGCUUGAUUACAGGAAUGGCCUCGCUGGAUGGCAGAGCCUCAGGGAAGAUGGGGAUGCGGGCUGUCGUCUACUACAUGGUGACCACAAUCAUAGCAGUCUUCAUUGGCAUCCUCAUGGUGAUCAUCAUCCACCCAGGAAAAGGAUCUAAGGACAAGCUUCACCGAGAAGGCAGAAUUGAGCAGGUGCAGACCACAGAUGCCUUCAUGGACUUGGUGAGGAAUAUGUUCCCGCCCAACCUGGUAGAAGCCUGCUUCAAACAGUACAAGACGCAGUACAGCACCAGGGUCUUCACCAGAACCGUCCUCCACAGCACCAAUGUCACAGCAGGUGUGACAACCACUCAGAUCCCUGUGCCUGAGAACUUCACCAGCAUCCUGGAGAACGUCACUCAUGCCCUGGGGACCAUCUCCGAGGUGCUGACCUUUGAAGAAGUCAUUCCCAUCCCGGGCUCAGCCAAUGGGGUGAACGCGCUGGGGCUGGUAGUGUUCUCCAUGUGCUUCGGUUUGGUGAUCGGCAGCAUGAAGCAGAAGGGACGGGCCCUGCGGGAGUUCUUUAACUGCCUCAACGAAGCCAUCAUGAGGCUGGUGGCCAUUAUCAUCUGGUACGCUCCAGUUGGAAUCAUGUUUUUAAUUGCUGGCAAAAUCCUGGAGAUGGAUGACCUAGCAGUGAUGGGAGGUCAGCUGGGGAUGUACACGCUCACUGUCAUCGUUGGACUCCUCAUUCAUGCCCUCUGCAUCCUGCCACUGCUUUACUUCAUCGUCACUCACAGAAACCCCUGGGUAUUCAUUGCAGGGCUUCUGCAGGCCCUCAUCACAGCCCUGGGCACCUCCUCAAGCUCAGCGACUCUACCCAUCACCUUCAAGUGCCUGGAAGAAAAUAAUGGUGUGGACAGGCGCAUCACGAGGUUUGUUCUGCCUGUGGGAGCUACAAUUAACAUGGAUGGCACUGCUCUGUACGAGGCCCUUGCAGCCAUCUUUAUUGCACAAGUCAACAACUAUGAACUUGACUUCGGGCAGAUCAUCACAAUAAGCAUCACUGCCACAGCAGCCAGCAUUGGAGCUGCAGGUAUUCCCCAAGCAGGACUGGUGACAAUGGUUAUAGUGUUGACAUCAGUGGGGCUGCCUACUGAAGACAUUACGCUGAUCAUCGCUGUGGACUGGUUUCUGGACCGCCUUAGAACAACCACCAAUGUCCUGGGGGAUUCUCUGGGGGCUGGCAUUGUGGAGCAUCUCUCCCGGCGUGAGCUGGAUGCGCAGGACUGCGAACUUGGUAAUUCUGUGAUAGAGGAGAAAGAGCAGCUCUCCCACCUGGUUUGCCCACAGAGUGACAUCCACAGGCACCCCAGGAGUGAGACAGCACUGUGAAACUGGGCAGCAGAAUGCAGAUUAAUGCUAUAAAAGCCAAGACUUGAAACAGAAGUCCAUAGUAGAGGACAGAGAAAGAUCCACUCUCCAAGAUGCACACUUUUCUCCCCACCUCUGCCACACGCAGUCUUCCCUGAUCCCGUUUCUCCCCCAUCUCUUUCUGACUGGCAUUAAAGAGGAGGAAAUUAAACUGCAAAGAAAGUUUUAUUCCACAGAAGCCUGAUUUAGUCAUUCUUAUGGUGUCCAAGAGUUAUACCUGAGUAAAGAAGACUCAGUCAAUGAGCUGGACUAGGAGCUCGUUCGUUUCUGAGCUAAAGUAUGAGCACAGCUAAGUGGCAAGGUGGGUCGGGGACACCAAAACCUGUGGGCUGGCACCAAAAUGUUGCCAUGAUGACUCCGCCCUGCAGGAUACAGCUGCAAAGCCUUCACUUGGUCAGUGGCUUCCCCCAAGCACAUAAAGCUUUUAGCAUUGGCCAUUUGGAGAUCUCUGGAGAGCCCCAGCACUCCUGUUCAAGCUCUUCACUGCCAAGAGUGUUUAUCAUAAACACAGUGUCCUCCUUGCUCACAGUCCUGGUGUUUGCACAGAUAUGCGGAUGACGCUUCCUGAGAGCUUCUCACUCCUCCAGCAACCCUUCUGGCUGCAGAUACUGGAGUCACCCAGCUCCUGAAGGAAUACUAUUUGUCCAACUUUUCAAGAAAGCAUUGAAUUCUAAUCCUGAAGAGACUUCCUGUAUAUAAAGGGCAAACUGAUGGAUGAAUUGGAAGAAAAGAUUGUUGGAUUGAACUCUAGCUCAAAUGGGAAUUAAUUCUGGGAAGUCCUAUGGCUUGGGUUAUACAGACAGCCAAACUAGAUGAUCAUAAGGGUCCCUUCUGGCUUUAUAAUAUAUGCACGUGCUUUCUGGUUUAGAGAUAUUGCAAAGGGUCCUUCCAGCCUGAUCAUUUUUAAAAGGUGUCUGGAAGGAUCCUAAUGAUACUUUAAUAAAACUCAGCAGGAGUCUAA
This is an RNA transcript of Harpia harpyja (harpy eagle), 2926 nucleotides long. It is a transcript of the gene named excitatory amino acid transporter 4-like, with no coding region annotated. Lineage: Eukaryota; Metazoa; Chordata; Aves; Accipitriformes; Accipitridae. The transcript is spliced from 11 exons. The record is from RefSeq and is a predicted model, not a curated record.